AAUUAUCUUGGGGUGUGUGUGUGUAUAUGCAGUUGGGAGGGGAAGGUGGGGAGAGGAUUACGGGGUCACUGAGCAUCUGUCAGCCGCAUCUGCCACUGGGUCUGACUCUGGCUUCAGUCUGCUUUGCUUCACUCACUCCUUGCUGCUGGCAUCUCACAUACCGAUGUCAUUAGGCACUGUCUGCCCCGGUCCUCCUACAAUCCAGCCAGUACAGUUCCCGUCACAGCAAGUGCUUCCUCUCUCGGAGCAGACAAACUAACUGAAGCCACAGCCGGAAGCAGGCUGACCACAAGUGCUAAGGUUCUGGUUAGUUCUUUUCUAGGUUCAAAAGAAGAGGCUGUUCUAAGAAAGACUACCGAGUAAUCAAUCACCUCCUCAGAGAAAGUCUGCUCAGGUAACUCUACUCCCACCAGCCCCUGCACUUGGUUCCUUGCAUUGCCUCUGGCUGGAAGCUGUUGUCCCCAACUUCAGAAAGUGUCUGCAGAUUUCACAGGCUGUCUCUUGAGUCAAGGGAGAAGAGGUCCUGUCACCUUGUCUGUAGGCAGUUCCAGCAGGAAUUAGGAAAGGUGAAGUAUCUGAUCUAGACAGGCUGUUGUGUUUUUACAUGGCUGAGCAGCCACCAAUGCAGGGAAUGUGCCCUUGGGACAUGGGACUAGGCAGGGAGGGCCAUGGCUCUGCACACAGACACCUCUUUCAUUCAUGACUCGUCAAAUGUCAUUCUUUCCAAGUCAGCCUGGGUUUCCAAGAACCCUUCUCAAUACAGUGCCCCAGAUAAAUUCUAUGACCCAGUGUGGGGUGAGAUGAAAACCCAUUUGCCAUCCCUGAUGCUGCUGUCUGCAAGGAGCUGCUCUCAGGGCAGCUGGGCUCCUCCCUGCCCGAGUGGCAUCUGAGGCCUUUUCCAUUGGUUCUCUUGGGUUGCCUUUUGGCAGCUGUCAUUCCACAAGUCUCCAGGAGUCUCUGGGAUCUUCAACCAUGGGCUAAAGGAGAGCUGCAGAAUAAUCCAACAUCCCCAGCCUUCUGCAAUUAGGCAAGAGGUAUUUUUCCUGAGGACCACAUACCCUAAAAGAGCCUGUAUCAAAGACAUAAGGUAAGCAAGAGGGCAGUGAGCCCUCCAGCCUGCUUUUCCUUCCAUCUCUGCCACUGCCCAUCAGCUGUCCCUUCUCUGUCCUCCACGCUGGAGUAGCUACAGCCUCCUGGGGUUGGCUCAUUCAAGAGAUCACCUGAUUUUCCCUCCCAGCAGCAGUGGGUAGGAUGCCCCCGCUCAGGGGGGAGGCUGGUGGGGGCCUCAUCCCAACUGUGGCUGCCUCCACAGGGUGUGACUAAGCGGGGCCCACAGGUGGUCUUGUAGCCUCUGCACCGCAGCUCUGAGGUCCCAUGGGGCCCCAGCCCCCACCCCCGCCAAAUGACUCAGCUGAGCACCCCAGCCACUACCCUGAUGGGGCUAAUGCUCCCUUAGGAGUCCGCAGCAGGGAUUCAUGUGGUUUCAAGACUAAACAUAACAGCAGAUAGUGCAGGCGAGAAGGCACCACCGUUUAGCGGUAGAUCUGAUGCUUCUCUGAGCCACCACUUAGCGCACGGAACAUCUAGUUCUGCAACAACUUUAACAUUCAGAGAAGAAUCCUUGAUGCUGUAGAUUUUUAGGUUUUCUGACAAGAUGUCUCAUAUAAUCAAAGAAUGAUGUGGAUGGAGAAAGCACACCAAACACCCAGGUUCUCAGAGUGUUGCCACGCAGCAGGCUCUGACCGGGUUGGGUGGGUGGCAGGCUACAGGUCGCUCUGGCUCUUAAUCCUUAUCAAGUGACUGCUCACAAGACGCCUUUAAGUCUCCACGAUUGAGCCAGAAACCCAAAAGUGUGCCAGAGUUUUCUGUGACCGGAAAGUAAGGUGAUUAAGAGAAAACUUCAAAACUGGCCCCUGGAAGAUUUAAAGAUAGGGCCCACUCAAACACUUCAGAGACAAGAGAACAAAGUGAGGGGUGAGAAGGGACAUAAGUCAAGGGUGAACAGUACAGGCCUCCUUUAGACAUUAAGACAUCGAAUGCAAAUGAAGGUCAUUAUCUGUGCAUGUGGACAGGUCUGUGUCAGUAUAAAUGCUGAUCGAGUAGGGUUUAAUUUGCCAGUGUCAACAACUGGAGGAAAAGAAAGGAAUUGAGGACUUUGCAGUUAAUGUGUCCUGACCCUGGAAACCUCACCUGUGGAAAUCCACACUGGCACCCAUCAGAAUCCCUAAUCUGCUUAAAAAUAGGAGUCUGCUCCCAGAAUCACCAGCACCCUCCCAGUUUCCUACCAACAACAUGAUUAUGGAGUGCGAUUUCUACAGUCAGCCAAGCCUGGUUUGAAUUCUGGCUCAGCUCCUUCUGAACUGUUCCUAGGAAGUCACUUAACCCCCAGCCUGGCUUUUAUCUGUAAAAGGGAUAAGCCAUCAUCAGCAUUCUGCAACUUGUGUCUUUUUCUCCCCAGUCUGUGCUGAUUUUUUUUUCUCCUUUCUUUCUGCUAAUCUGUGACCCUAGUGUCUUCAUCCUGUCUUUCAAAACCUUUUUCAAAAGUUACCUCUGCCGUGAACCUCCAUCCAUCUCUCCCCACCCCAGAAGUCCCUUCCUCCGGGUUCCCCAUGGAGCGUAACUUUAACAACCAAAUACAAUACUAGAGGUGAGAGGAUUUUACAAACCGAAGAGGACCAACUGUAUGUAAAGGAUUAGGAAUAUUUCUCCUCAUCAUUCGCACAACCCCUCUGAGAGUAAUCUUAAGUAAGCAUCUGUUUUGUCUCCUCUGUGAGGCUCUUACUACUUAAAGGGUGAUUCCCGGACCAGCAGCUUCGGCAUCUCCUGGAAGGCUGUUGGAAAUGCAGAACAUCUCAAGUCCUGGAAGUGACUGCUGAGUCAAAAUGUGAAUUUUCACAUGCUCCACAGAUGAUCCAUAUGUACAAUAAAAUCCGAGAAGCAUGGAAUUCAACUCUAAGGACCUCAAGGGUACAGACGGCACAGAAUCUCCAGAAAGCCCUCCAGAACCUAGGAGAGGCCUCUGUGCCUCUGUAAUCGGGGUAUUCAGCAAAUACAAGCACGCAAUCGCUGCCCUGCUGGCAAUAAAACUGAAAGCCUGGCUGCCUCUAGGCCUGUCAGUGAUGAUACUUAUCUGAACAGACCUGACUUCCAGUAUCUUUACAUAAAAAGCUUGAAAAUUACAUCUACAUAAAAAGCAGGCUCCUUUAGGGUAAGUCAUUAUCAGGCCGAGCACUCAAGUCCUUGGUAACUGGAAGGAGAGUUGGCCCCUUCUCCUCAGAGGCAGCCAGCGUGAAUCACAAAGACUCCCUCGAUUUCACAGUUCAUGCUCCUCACUCCACUAUCCACCCCUGAACAUUUUAAUGAUGUUCGGAAAGCACAGGUCUGAAAGAACAGCUGGCCCGGGACACCCACAGCGCACGUUUGGUGUCUCAGCAAACUCUGCCCAAGAAGUGUUCUCUAACAGCCUGCAGCAGCUUCCCCGCUUCCUGGGACAUAGUAUCCACACUUCCCAUCAGCGAAAAGAUUCAUUUGGAACUCAAAUUCCUCCAUCAUAUGAUCACUUCUUAAUGAUUAGUAGAGUGUCUCCCAGAAAGGCGAGGCUGAGGGCAAACACAAACCAUGCUGAACUGCAGUGAGCAGUCACUUUGCCUCUAAGACACCUCUUAGAGAGCAGGUGUUAUUUAAAAAGAAGGGGGGAAAAAAGCACUAUCAAGAAAAGAGGCAGAUGCACAUAGCGACAGGAAAUCGGGCUAUGGAGUUUGAUCCAGAUUAAAAUCCCAGCCCCAGUUCCAUGCUCACGUGCUAAUCUCACCGAGGCUCAACAUUUCCCCCACUAACACAGGCCAAUACCACCUAUCUAGUGGUUCUGAGGAUCACUCCAGAGAACACACGAAGUUCACAGAGCACAGCGCCCCAUCCGUGAGAAGGGUUCAGGCAACAUCGCAUGUUAUUCUUUUGUUCUGCAGCUCCCCGAUGGGCUGCUGGGGCCUUGCUCAGAGCUGAGAAGCCAGGCCAGUAGGCCCCAAGUCCACCUUGCUCCCAGGAGGCCUUUCCACUCACCUUGAUCAUUUCUGCCACAUAACUCUCAGGCCCAGUAUAUUCGGUGGAGUCCUUUACUUUCACCAGGACAAUGAAGCACAGAUAGUGCCACAUGUUGUGUUCUUCCUUGAUGUGCUCUUCAAAGGUGACAGUCUUGUUGUCAAACUUGUCUCUUUCCAAGCCUAAAAAUGAGACAAAAAUCCCCCAGCCCCAACUAAGCAGUCUUGGUAAAGAAAAAAAAUCAAUAACAGAACUGUCAGUAGAAAGGGGGCUGUGGUUUCACUCCUGUCUUUAUAAAGAGUUGGAUUCUGUCGGCCUUAUAAGUACAUUCAUGUUUACAUUAUGGCAGGAAAAUACAGGCUGUGAGUCAGACAGACUUGGGUUUGAAUCCCACCUCUGCCACUUAGCGGUUGCUGCUUCAUCUCCACAUGCCUUAGUGGCCUUGUUAGUGAAUGGGGAGACCGCCGUCUAGGUUCCAGGAGUGUUUAGGGGUAAAAUGAGAAUGUGACACGCUCACACAUUGCAUGCAACCGGGGAACGUGAAGUCCCUUCGCCCAGGUAAAUGCCAAAAUGCAGAUAUGUUAAGGUUUUUUGAGGAGGCGGAAUAAGUAAGGACAACAAGAACUUUAAACAAAUUUUGAAUUCUAGCUGGUAGGUUUAUAAUUUGAAGAGGCCGGGGUGAGCAAUUCUAGUCUCUACGUAUUCUAGGAUUGAUCAAAUAAAUAUAUCAUGGAUAAUGGGAACUGGAUUCCUCACUGCCUGAGAAAAGAACACAAAUAGAGAAAGGGAGAAAGAAUAAACCCUGUAAAGCUGAAAUGGAAUUAAAGGUAUCAGUAUGAAUUCAUCCUUUUUCAUACAUACAUACACAGAUGUGUGCAGAUACAUGUGCUGUGUACACAUACACACAUAUGCAGAUGCAUACGCCUCUCCUCUAGAUUUGUACCCUAAUAAGCCCUGAGAGCAGCAGCACACCAACAGGAAUGAGCACACUCAGUCCCCAGAUCUUGGCUUCUAAACACCUUUCUCCGAUAAAAAGAACCAGGGCUCUUUGGAGAAAUGGCUGAUUCCAGGGAUAGGUCAGGAAAUGUACAAGGUGAGCUUAAGCCUGGAAUAUAUUAUGAUGCCAAAAAAGUAAGAAAGUACAUAGAAAAUGACAAUGACAUGACUAAACCCAGGAGUCAGCUGGAAAGGGCUCUCACUGGCCACAUCUGAAGCAAUUUGAACAUCAAAAUAAAUAGCCCAUUGAAUAAAAUAAAAAUCCACAAGUCCAUGUAGUUACAAAUACAAACAGAGAAAUAUACACACAUACGUGGGGAGAAGAAAAAAUUCUUUCUUACAAUAAAAAGCCAAUAAAGAAAUGUAGAAAUAAUAAUAAAAUAAAAAUCAUCAUUGGGCAACCAUCAUCAUAAUAGAGUUAGUCAAGCAUCAUCAAUGAAUGCUAAAGCUAAGGGGUGAAAGUUUAAGGAAUAGCAGGAUAUUUACAAAGUGUCUCUCCAAAAAAGUAACUUUGUGGAGUUACUGGAAAAACCUGGCAAUUAGCACCUUAACCAAAUGAUCAACGUUAGUAUCACGGCUGGGCGCAGUGGCUCAUGCCUGUAAUCCUAACACUUUGGGAAGCCAAAACGGGCAGACUGCCUGAGCUCAGGAGUUCAAGACCAGCCUCAGCAACAUAGUGAAAUCCCAUCUCUACUCAAAUACAAAAAAUCAGCCAGUUGUGGUGGCAGGCACCUGUAAUCCUAGCUACUCAGGUGGCUGAGGCACGAGAAUUGCUUGAACCCUGGGAGGUGGAGGUUACAGUGAGCCGAGAUACUAGUUACGAGAUGAAUUGGCAUUACAUGCCUCCUGAUAUGAUGCAAUGAGAAGAACACAACAGCAUGUCUUUGAUAUUCCUGUGGAAAAUACAUACCCUCAAUCUUACCAUGAGCAAACAUCAGACAAACUCAAAUCAAGGGACAUUCUACAAAAUAAUUGACCUGCAUUCUUCAACAGUGUCAGCGGAGGCUAACGAGGCAUGGUGACUGAAGCCCCACAGGAGGUGGGAUUUGCAAAGGACAUUAUUGGAAUGAAGGGUGAAAUCUGAAUAAGGUCUGUAGAUGAGAUAACAGUAUUGGAUCUGUUUUAAUUUCCCAAUUUUGAUAAUUAUACUGUAGAUACACAAGAGAAUGUUCUUGUUUUUAGGAAAUGUGUACUAAAAUAUUUAGGGAUGAGAAAGCAUCACUGUCAGCCACUCACAUUAGAAAAUGUGUGUGUGUGUGUGUAUAAAGCAAAUGAGAUAAAAUAUUAAUAUUUGGGGAUUCUGGGUGAGGAAUAUAUAGAAAUUCUUUGGAUAGUCAUGUCUUUUCUGUAACUCUGAAAUUAUGCCAAAGCAAAAAGCUUAAAAAGGUUUUAAGGGGGCAAAAAGCAAAGAAUUUAAGUCUUUAAUUGGAAAAUGAUCAUUUUUUUUAGCAUACAUACCACUAGGAAAUUUAUAUAUUUAGUAGCUAUAUUAUGAAUAAUCCUGAAAUGAUUACUCAGCUCCCCAGAUUCCUCCAUGAUUAGUUUACAUUUACAAAUAUUUUCCUGUAGUUAUACUGAAAAUGAUUUGUUUGGUGUCCAUGCACCUCUUUUACGUAGCCGUUCACUACUUCUCCUCCCGUGCCUAUAGUGUGCCAGGUUCUAGCUAGGAGUGUUACAUACGCGGUCUCUCCUAAUUCUCACAAUAAUGCAGAGAAGGACAUGUUAUUGUACCCAUUUUACAGAUGAAGAAAGAAGGAUUAAAGAUGUUAAAUGACUAAAUGAUGGUUACACAGUUAGUUGAGUGGUAGAAGCUCAGUCAGAACCCAGGUCUGUAAAUACUUCCCAGCAGAAUAAAGGCCAAGGAGAGCCUCACUCACGGCAGAGGGUAGAAGAGUCAAGAGGACGCAGCAGCCGGUGCCCCCUCCCACAUAACUGGGCACGCACCCAGCCCAUCACACCCUCGCCGUAUCCACAUGCCUCUGCCACGCUGGGCCUUCACGCCCUCGCUGGAGCUGGCCAGCGACACUCACCACAGAUAAAGCACGUGGUCUUCAAGAUCUCUUCCUUCUUCUGCUUCUCACUCCUCAGGUCAGCAAAAGUGUCAAUGAUAACCCCAAAAAUCAGGUUAAGAACAAUGAUGAUGACCAUGAAGAAGAACAAGAGGUCAUAAAUAACUCUAGCAGCAAACAGGGGUUCCUGGAAAAGAGAGGUGUCUGGAUCAGUCUGGGUCCCUUGCGACCCUUUGGUCUGCAGAGCCUGGGGCACAGCUCAAGUGAGACCUCAUCUACUUGGGUAGAAAUUAAAUUGGGCAUUCAACUUUUAAACUGAAAACUGCAUCUCUUUUCAUAUCCCCUGUCUCAAUUGUGACUUCUCCAAGUGUGGUGUGACACAGCCGGGAGGGAUAUUCACUGUGCGUUCAGGUGGAUCAGGCCUAACCCCUGAUGGAAACAGUCCCUAAGUCUACUGAACAGAGAGCCAAAGCCAACCCUUUCCACGCAGCUGAUUUUGCGGCAUCACCUCACGUGAUAGAGAGGAAAGAAGCCUGACGAGCUAGUUCCGCAGCUACUCAGCCCUACUCCCAGCUCUUCCUCUGCGUCUUCAGUUUACACUCAACACCACUGCACGGUGCUCCCACCAACCACCCCACCCACCCCCUUUGCCCUUCCUUCCCCUCGGGAUUAAUUUACCUCUUUGGACGGCUUCCUGAGCACAUCUCCUACUCCACCCCCGCUCCGCAGCCCGUGACUCAGUACAGUGACAAUGCACAUCAGCAGCGUCUCACAUGUGUGCUCUUUAUCCUGUUCCGUUUCUUCUGCAAGGACCAGCUCUGCGAACACGGCAAGUAAUAACAGAGAGAAAACGUGAGGAGAAAAGAGAGACCGGGAUUUCGAAAUCCUGUUUCCUGAAUGCCAUCUCACCAGGCACACGAAAGAAUAAAAUUAAGGAAUCAAGA
Molecule: long non-coding RNA, 7987 nt
Organism: Gorilla gorilla gorilla (western lowland gorilla)
Lineage: Eukaryota; Metazoa; Chordata; Mammalia; Primates; Hominidae
Exons: 4
Source: RefSeq, a predicted model, not a curated record